UUUCUAUAGUGUAAACUGCACAUAACCUUUUCAAAGUUAAAGAAAAUUAAUUUUUAGAAAUU
Molecule: transfer RNA, 62 nt
Filed under: Austropallene cornigera
Lineage: Eukaryota; Metazoa; Arthropoda; Pycnogonida; Pantopoda; Callipallenidae
Description: tRNA-Glu
Source: RNAcentral